AGUUCAGUUAGUAGAGCAUGGCUGCAGGUCCUCUGUAGUUCAGUUAGUAGAACAUGGCUCCAGGUCCUCUGUAGUUCAGUUAGUAGAGCAUGGCUGCAGGUCCUCUGUAGUUCAGUUAGUAGAACAUGGCUCCAGGUCCUCUGUAGUUCAGUUAGUAGAGCAUGGUCCUCUGUAGUUCAGUUAUAGAGCAUGGCUCCAGGUCCUCUGUAGUUCAGUCAGUAGAACAUGGCUCCAGGCCCUCUGUAGUUCAGUUAGUAGAGCAUGGCUCCAGGUCCUUUGUAGUUCAGUUAGUAGAACAUGGCUCCAGGUCCUCUGUAGUUCAGUUAGUAGAGCAUGGCUCCAGAUCCUCUGUAGUUCAGUUAGUAGAGCAUGACUCCAGGUCCUCUGUAGUUCAGUUAGUAGAACAUGGUCCUCUGUAGUUCAGUUAGUAGAGCAUGGCUCCAGGUCCUCUGUAGUUCAGUUAGUAGAACAUGGCUCCAGGUCCUCUGUAGUUCAGUUAGUAGAACAUGGCUCCAGGUCCUCUGUAGUUCAGUUAGUAGAGCAUGGUCCUCUGUAGUUCAGUUAGUAGAGCAUGGCUCCAGGUCCUCUGUAGCUCAGUUGGUAGAGCAUGACUGUGCUUUGGAUAAAAUUGUCUGGCAUAUAGUAUGUGUUACUCUGGUUCCCAUCACCAGGGGGCAGUGUGAGUUUUGGUUCCCAUCAAAAUCAAAUAAUCACAUUUUAUUGGUCACAUACACAUGGAUAGCAGAUGUUAAUGCGUGUGUAGCGAAAUGCUUGUGCAUCUAGUUCUGACAGUGCAGUAAUAUCUAACAAGUAAUCUAACAAAUUCACAACUAACUACCUAAUACACACACAAAUGUAAAGCGAUGGAAUAAGAAUUUGUACAUAUAAAUAUAUGGAUGAGCGAUGGCCAUGCAGCAUAGGCAAGAUGCAGUAGAUGGUAUAGAGUACAAUAUAUACAUAUAAGAUGAGUGAUGUAAGAUAUGUAAAAAUUAAAGUGGCAUUAUUUAAAGUGACUAGUGAUACCUUUAUUAAAUCCAUUUAUUAAAGUGACCAGUGAUUUGGGUCUGUAUGUUUGCAGCAGCCUCUCUAUGUUAGUGAUGGCUGUUUAACAGUCUGAUGGCCUUGAGAUAGAAGCUGUUUUUCAGUCUCUCUGUACCAGCUUUGAUGCACCUGUACUGACCUCGCCAUCUGGAUGGUAGCGGUGUGAACAGGCAGUGGCUCAGGUGGUUGUUGUCCUUUUUGGCCUUUCUGUGACAUCGGGUGCUGUAGGUGUCCUGGAGGGCAGGUAGUUUGCCCCUGAUGAUGCGUUGUGCAGACCGGUUGAUGGCGGUGCAGUUGCCUAUCACCUUACCAGGUGAUACAGCUCGACAGGAUGCUCUUAAUUGUGCAUCUGUAAAAGUUUGUGAGGGUUUUAGGUGACAAGCCAAAUUUCUUCAGCCUCCUGAGGUUGAAGUGGCGCUGUUGCGCCUUCUUCACUACACUGUAUAUGUGGGUGGACCAUUUCAGUUUGUCCGUGAUGUGUAUGCCGAGGAACUUGAAGCUUUCCGCCUUCUCCACUGCGGUCCCAUUGAUGUGGAUAGGGGGCUGCUCCCUCUGCUGUUUCCUGAAGUCAACAAUAAUCUCCUUUGUUUUGUUGACGUUGAGUGAGAGGUUAUUUUCCUGACACAACACUCCGAGGGCCCUCACCUCCUCCCUGUAGGCCAUCUCGUCGUUGUUGGUAAUCAAGCCCACUACUGUUGUGUCAUCUGCAAACUUGAUGAUUGAGUUGGAGGCGUUUAUGGCCACACAGUCUUGGGUGGACAGGGAGUACAGGAGAGGGCUGAGCACGAACCCUUGUGGGGCCACAG
RNAcentral lists this long non-coding RNA (1847 nucleotides) under Salmo salar (Atlantic salmon). RNAcentral's name for it is "lncRNA (ENSSSAG00000084428.1, ENSSSAG00000108115.1)". Lineage: Eukaryota; Metazoa; Chordata; Actinopteri; Salmoniformes; Salmonidae. The record is from RNAcentral.